CUGAGGUGGCGACCGGCGCACGGGUGAGUAACACGUAUGCAACCUGCCUGUAAGCGGGGAAUAACCCGUUGAAAGACGGACUAAUACCGCAUAAUACUAAAUUACUGCAUGGUAAUUUAUUUAAACAUUUAUGGCUUACAGAUGGGCAUGCGCAUGAUUAGCUAGUUGGAGAGGUAACGGCUCCCCAAGGCAACGAUCAUUAGGGGUUCUGAGAGGAAGGUCCCCCACACUGGUACUGAGACACGGACCAGACUCCUACGGGAGGCAGCAGUGAGGAAUAUUGGUCAAUGGACGAGAGUCUGAACCAGCCAAGUCGCGUGCAGGAAGAAUGUCCUUAAUGGAUUGUAAACUGCUUUUGCAGGGGAAUAAAGUGCAUCACGUGUGAUGUUUUGUAUGUACUCUGCGAAUAAGGAUCGGCUAACUCCGUGCCAGCAGCUGC
RNAcentral lists this ribosomal RNA (439 nucleotides) under uncultured bacterium. RNAcentral's name for it is "bacterial SSU rRNA". It matches the Rfam family "Bacterial small subunit ribosomal RNA", at positions 83 to 518 of the family's 1533-position model. The record is from RNAcentral.